This 429-nucleotide ribosomal RNA is filed under the name Chloroflexota bacterium. Its description in RNAcentral is "Chloroflexi bacterium partial 16S ribosomal RNA". It matches the Rfam family "Bacterial small subunit ribosomal RNA", at positions 355 to 776 of the family's 1533-position model. Lineage: Bacteria; Bacillati; Chloroflexota. The record is from RNAcentral.
UGGGGAAUAUUGCACAAUGGGCGCAAGCCUGAUGCAGCCAUGCCGCGUGUGUGAAGAAGGCCUUCGGGUUGUAAAGCACUUUCAGCGGGGAGGAAGGCGUUAAGGUUAAUAACCUUGGCGAUUUACGUCACCCGCAGAAGAAGCACCGGCUAACUCCGUGCCAGCAGCCGCGGUAAUACGGAGGGUGCAAGCGUUAAUCGGAAUUACUGGGCGUAAAGCGCACGCAGGCGGUCUGUCAAGGCGGAUGUGAAAUCCCCGGGCUUAACCUGGGGACUGCAUUCGAAACUGGCAGGCUAGAGUCUUGUAGAGGGGGGUAGAAUUCCAGGUGUAGCGGUGAAAUGCGUAGAGAUCUGGGGGAAUACCGGUGGCGAAGGCGGCCCCCUGGACAAAGACUGACGCUCAGGUGCGAAAGCGUGGGGAGCAAACAGG